This 155-nucleotide ribosomal RNA is filed under the name uncultured bacterium. Its description in RNAcentral is "partial 16S ribosomal RNA". It matches the Rfam family "Bacterial small subunit ribosomal RNA", at positions 355 to 509 of the family's 1533-position model. The record is from RNAcentral.
UGAGGAAUAUUGGUCAAUGGGCGAGAGCCUGAACCAGCCAAGCCGCGUGAAGGAAGAAGGCGCCAGGCGUCGUAAACUUCUUUUGUCGGGGAACAAAGGGCGCCACGCGUGGCGUUGUGAGUGUACCCGAGAAAAGCAUCGGCUAACUCCGUGCC